Molecule: ribosomal RNA, 427 nt
Filed under: uncultured bacterium
Lineage: Bacteria
Description: bacterial SSU rRNA
Rfam family: Bacterial small subunit ribosomal RNA
Source: RNAcentral
UGGGGAAUUUUGCACAAUGGGCGAAAGCCUGAUGCAGCAACGCCGCGUGUGUGAUGAAGGUCUUCGGAUCGUAAAGCACUUUCGACCGGGACGAACACCCCUUGGCUAACAUCCAUGGGCCUGACUGUACCGGGAGAAGAAGCACCGGCUAACUCUGUGCCAGCAGCCGCGGUAAUACAGAGGGUGCAAGCGUUGUUCGGAAUUAUUGGGCGUAAAGCGCGUGUAGGCGGCUUUGUAAGUCGGGUGUGAAAGCCCUCAGCUCAACUGAGGAAGUGCGCCCGAAACUGCGAGGCUUGAGUACCGGAGAGGAUGGCGGAAUUCCCGAAGUAGAGGUGAAAUUCGUAGAUAUCGGGAGGAACACCGGUGGCGAAGGCGGCCAUCUGGACGGAUACUGACGCUGAGACGCGAAAGCGUGGGUAGCAAACAG